This 74-nucleotide transfer RNA is filed under the name Chitinophagaceae bacterium. Its description in RNAcentral is "tRNA-OTHER". The record is from RNAcentral. Lineage: Bacteria; Pseudomonadati; Bacteroidota; Chitinophagia; Chitinophagales; Chitinophagaceae.
GGGGUAGCUCAGCUGGUUAGAGCAUCGGAUUCAUAUCCGCCGCGGCGGACGGCAGUUCAAGACUGACGUCUCUU